GACCAGAUAGCACAAUUGGUUGAGCGUCCGUCUCAAGUUCGAAAGGUCCCGGGUUCGAACCCCGGUCUGGCCG
This 73-nucleotide transfer RNA is filed under the name Mizuhopecten yessoensis (Yesso scallop). RNAcentral's name for it is "tRNA-Leu". It matches the Rfam family "tRNA". Rfam says of the family: Transfer RNA (tRNA) molecules are approximately 80 nucleotides in length. Their secondary structure includes four short double-helical elements and three loops (D, anti-codon, and T loops). Further hydrogen bonds mediate the characteristic L-shaped molecular structure. tRNAs have two regions of fundamental functional importance: the anti-codon, which is responsible for specific mRNA codon recognition, and the 3' end, to which the tRNAs corresponding amino acid is attached (by aminoacyl-tRNA synthetases). tRNAs cope with the degeneracy of the genetic code in two manners: having more than one tRNA (with a specific anti-codon) for a particular amino acid; and 'wobble' base-pairing, i.e. permitting non-standard base-pairing at the 3rd anti-codon position. The record is from Rfam by way of RNAcentral. Lineage: Eukaryota; Metazoa; Mollusca; Bivalvia; Pectinida; Pectinidae.